This 496-nucleotide ribosomal RNA is filed under the name uncultured bacterium. RNAcentral describes it as "partial 16S ribosomal RNA". It matches the Rfam family "Bacterial small subunit ribosomal RNA", at positions 28 to 507 of the family's 1533-position model. The record is from RNAcentral.
GACGAACGCUGGCGGCGUGCCUAAUACAUGCAAGUUGAGCGCUGAAGGUUGGUACUUGUACCGACUGGAUGAGCAGCGAACGGGUGAGUAACGCGUGGGGAAUCUGCCUUUGAGCGGGGGACAACAUUUGGAAACGAAUGCUAAUACCGCAUAAAAACUUUAAACACAAGUUUUAAGUUUGAAAGAUGCAAUUGCAUCACUCAAAGAUGAUCCCGCGUUGUAUCAGCUAGUUGGUGAGGUAAAGGCUCACCAAGGCGAUGAUACAUAGCCGACCUGGGAGGGGGACCGGCACAAUUGGAACUGGGAAACGCCCCAAACUCUACCGGAAGGCGCCGGAGGGGAAUUUUGGCCAAUGAACGAAGUCUGACCGAGCAACGCCGCGUGAGUGAAGAAGGUUUUCGGAUCGUAAAACUCUGUUGGUAGAGAAGAACGUUGGUGAGAGUGGAAAGCUCAUCAAGUGACGGUAACUACCCAGAAAGGGACGGCUAACUACGUG